UCAUAAAAUGCUGCCUUCACAUGCUGUUGGGAGGAUGAGCCUUUCCACUUAUGAAUUUAAAAUUACCAGUGUGUUGUGUUCAAGUGCUUUUGUUGUCGUAGCAAAAUGAAAAAUGUCUGACACACAAUUCUUCGUGACCUGUUACUUGGAUCUUUUGUUUUGGUUUCUGCA
Long non-coding RNA from Sphaeramia orbicularis (orbiculate cardinalfish), 171 nucleotides. RefSeq lists it as uncharacterized. NCBI's taxonomy places the organism in Eukaryota, Metazoa, Chordata, Actinopteri, Kurtiformes, Apogonidae. The record is from RefSeq and is a predicted model, not a curated record. The transcript has 3 exons.